This 253-nucleotide ribosomal RNA is filed under the name uncultured bacterium. Its description in RNAcentral is "partial 16S ribosomal RNA". It matches the Rfam family "Bacterial small subunit ribosomal RNA", at positions 524 to 776 of the family's 1533-position model. The record is from RNAcentral.
UACGUAGGUGACCAGCGUUGUCCGGAUUUACUGGGCGUAAAGAGCGCGUAGGCGGCUCGUUAAGUGAGAAGUGAAAGCUGUGGGCUCAACCCACAAACCGCUUUUCAUACUGGCGAGCUGGAGUGAUGCAGAGGUGGAUAGAAUUCCCGGUGUAGCGGUGAAAUGCGUUGAUAUCGGGAGGAAUACCCGUGGCGAAGGCGGUCCACUGGGCAUCAACUGACGCUGAGGCGCGAAAGCGUGGGUAGCAAACAGG